AGCGAACGCUGGCGGCAGGCUUAACACAUGCAAGUCGAACGCAUCCUUCGGGGUGAGUGGCAGACGGGUGAGUAACACGUGGGAACAUACCUUUUGGUUCGGAAUAACUCAUGGAAACGUGAGCUAAUACCGGAUACGCCCUUUUGGGGAAAGAUUUAUUGCCGAAAGAUUGGCCCGCGUCUGAUUAGCUAGUUGGUAAGGUAAUGGCUCACCAAGGCGACGAUCAGUAGCUGGUCUGAGAGGAUGAUCAGCCACACUGGGACUGAGACACGGCCCAGACUCCUACGGGAGGCAGCAGUGGGGAAUAUUGGACAAUGGGCGCAAGCCUGAUCCAGCCAUGCCGCGUGAGUGAUGAAGGCCUUAGGGUUGUAAAGCUCUUAUAUCCGGGAAGAUAAUGACUGUACCGGAAGAAUAAGCCCCGGCUAACUUCGUGCCAGCCGCCGCAGUAA
RNAcentral lists this ribosomal RNA (449 nucleotides) under uncultured bacterium. RNAcentral describes it as "partial 16S ribosomal RNA". It matches the Rfam family "Bacterial small subunit ribosomal RNA", at positions 29 to 523 of the family's 1533-position model. The record is from RNAcentral.